RNAcentral lists this ribosomal RNA (363 nucleotides) under uncultured actinobacterium WB037. Its description in RNAcentral is "bacterial SSU rRNA". It matches the Rfam family "Bacterial small subunit ribosomal RNA", at positions 121 to 501 of the family's 1533-position model. The record is from RNAcentral. Lineage: Bacteria; Bacillati; Actinomycetota; Actinomycetes.
GCAACCUGCCCCGAAGACCGGAAUAACACCGGGAAACCGGUGCUAAUACCGGAUGCCCCCACCGGGCCGCAUGACCUGGUGAGGAAAUGGAUUCCGCUUCGGGAGGGGCUCGCGGCCUAUCAGCUUGUUGGUGGGGUAACGGCCCACCAAGGCUUCGACGGGUAGCUGUUCUGAGAGGACGAUCAGCCACACUGGGACUGAGACACGGCCCAGACUCCUACGGGAGGCAGCAGUGGGGAAUCUUGCGCAAUGGGCGAAAGCCUGACGCAGCAACGCCGCGUGAGGGACGAAGGCUUUCUGAGUUGUAAACCUCUUUCAGCAGGAACGAUAGUGACGGUACCUGCAGAAGAAGCACCGGCCAAC